RNAcentral lists this transfer RNA (75 nucleotides) under Actinomadura craniellae. RNAcentral's name for it is "Actinomadura sp. LHW63021 tRNA-Val". It matches the Rfam family "tRNA". From Rfam's summary of the family: Transfer RNA (tRNA) molecules are approximately 80 nucleotides in length. Their secondary structure includes four short double-helical elements and three loops (D, anti-codon, and T loops). Further hydrogen bonds mediate the characteristic L-shaped molecular structure. tRNAs have two regions of fundamental functional importance: the anti-codon, which is responsible for specific mRNA codon recognition, and the 3' end, to which the tRNAs corresponding amino acid is attached (by aminoacyl-tRNA synthetases). tRNAs cope with the degeneracy of the genetic code in two manners: having more than one tRNA (with a specific anti-codon) for a particular amino acid; and 'wobble' base-pairing, i.e. permitting non-standard base-pairing at the 3rd anti-codon position. The record is from RNAcentral. Lineage: Bacteria; Bacillati; Actinomycetota; Actinomycetes; Streptosporangiales; Thermomonosporaceae.
GGGCGAUUAGCUCAGCGGGAGAGCGCUUCCCUGACACGGAAGAGGCCACUGGUUCGAACCCAGUAUCGCCCACGA